AUUUACACUUCGCGUUCUGUUUCACUUUCCUGGUGUUGAUCUUUGUCUUGAAUUUUCGAACACAAUCAGCGCGAAAGGAAGCACAGCUCUGAGAAUAUGAAAUCCAAUGCUUAUACAUCGUAUAUCUGCAUGCAAUGAGAGAUGUUUAGACAUCGCCCAAAUCAUAUCUACCGACUUGGACUCACUGCAUUCUCUACCGAAAGACAGGAAGCAGAAAGGCACCACUUAUUAAACAUUUUACUAGCGACAGUAGUACAGUCCAUGAAAAAUAUUUCACAUGGUCAUUAUUCAAACAAGAGGAACUGAGAUCCUCUCAGUACAUAUUUUUACCAUAUUUAUUAAAGUGUCUUCUGUUUUAUGCAAGUUAAAAAGAAAAUCAAAACAGUAGUUGAAUGUGUACAGCUUGGUGGCAUUUAAAUGGACUAGCAGAGAGCCGUAGUGGUAUUUAAGAUGGACUGCAAAGGGUUUAGUUCGAUAAUAUUUUACUUUGAAGAAAACUAUUUUAAACAAUUUUGAUCCCUUUUGACCAUUCUCAUGGAACAAGUUUACUGUAUGGUAAUUAGGAGCAUUUGCCUUUUUUUCAUGCAUCCACUUGAUCUCGUGUACUAAAAAUAUAACAAACCUAUUGUAUUGCUUUAAUUUCACUUCAGGACCUGGGUUAUAAUUUGGAGGUGCAUGGACUUAAAAAGAAGAAAUGUAGCUGUUCAAAUAGAGAACAUCCUAAUGAUGGAGGCAGCAGUGGCCUCUGAAAUGUUAGUAAACUUGUACCAGGCUACAAAUUGCACAUCACUACAACCCAGAAACCAGCCAUCUUUCUACUCACUACCAUGAGAACAAAUUGUGAAUGACAAACGGAUGCAAUUGGGAAAUACGUCAUGUGGGACGAGUUUCGUGGUAUUUGGUUUCUCGGCAUCAAAGUAGCAGUUCUGUUGGCUAUGCAGAUCAAAGUGGAGGAAAAGAUGGAAGGAAUGAUAGAUCAUAUGACACAUGAAGAAGGCCCUAAGAUUGCUGGUUCCUCUGUAAGCAGUAGACGUGUUAUUGAGGUGCAGACCCUCCAGUGAAGGAUCUGUGGGAGGUCUGCAGUUGCCUACUACUACUGAGGAUCUUACCAAGGUAAAUCCAAAAGCUCCAAAAGAAAGGUAACAGGUCACUGCAGGUUCUGAUUUUUUUUAUGUGGGCUACAAGCGUCAGGAUGAAGAUUUCUGUCUUCUGGGUUGUUGCAC
Molecule: non-coding RNA, 1223 nt
Organism: Zootermopsis nevadensis
Lineage: Eukaryota; Metazoa; Arthropoda; Insecta; Blattodea; Termopsidae
Source: RefSeq, a predicted model, not a curated record